RNAcentral lists this ribosomal RNA (253 nucleotides) under uncultured bacterium. RNAcentral's name for it is "partial 16S ribosomal RNA". It matches the Rfam family "Bacterial small subunit ribosomal RNA", at positions 524 to 776 of the family's 1533-position model. The record is from RNAcentral.
UACGUAGGGGGCUAGCGUUGUCCGGAAUCAUUGGGCGUAAAGCGCGUGUAGGCGGUCCGGUAAGUCCGCUGUGAAAGUCGAGGGCUCAACCCUCGAAUGCCGGUGGAUACUGUCGGGCUAGAGUGCGGAAGAGGCGAGUGGAAUUCCUGGUGUAGCGGUGAAAUGCGCAGAUAUCAGGAAGAACACCCGUGGCGAAGGCGGCUCUCUGGGACGGUACUGACGCUGAGACGCGAAAGCGUGGGGAGCGAACAGG